CUCACGCACACAUAACUAGACACAAACACGCACACAUGUCAUUAGUAGUAACAUAUAAACAUAUAUACAUGCGCUCACCUCAACGCACCAUUUACCCCACAGCAGCCAACAGUUCGUGGGAAUCCCCUCUACAAUAAUGUAUGUUCGUUGAUUCUCUUACUUUCUGGACAAAUUCACACAACAGUUAUGACAUCAAACAGUAAAAGAAAGGAAGAAAAAGACUGUGGGAUGGAAGCUGACCUCAGUCCUUUCAAGAGAUUGCGUAUCAAUGUCCCAGGAACUCAAAUCUCACAGGAACGAAUGAGCAAGUAUAAGAAGGAAGCUGUCAAAAAUCUGCGUAAACAAGGUCAGUUGAAGUUGUCAAUCUACAUGAAUUCUGGCAUGCUGACAGUAAAUGUGAUUCAAGCACGAAACCUUCAAACCAAACGGAAGACAACAUGCGAUUCUGUUGUGAAGAUAUCACUAAUUCCUGAUGAACAAAAACGGACAAGAUAUUCUACCAAAAUGGUUGUUGACUCCAAUAACCCUGUCUAUGAUGACAAAAUAUCAUUUGAAUUGUUGCAAGAUGACAUCAGUAAACGUCUCAUGAUAUCAGUGUGGCAUAUAGACCAGUCUAACUAUGCCAAAGAUUAUCUUGGUUCAAUGUCAUUUGGUGUCUUACAUCUCAUGAAACCAAACAGGUGUGUUGAUGGUUGGUACCACCUCCUUAAUGAAAAAGUUGGCAGAAACAAGCAUUUAUUAGUGGCUGGAAAAUUAACACCAGAUUUACAGAUGAGAGGAUUACAUGGUAUUCCUCUAAUUAACAAAGACUUGUGGGGAAUGGAAUCUCUCAUUAUCUCUGUUGACCGUGGCAAAUCUGGCUAUGGGUUUUCUGUUGUUGAUGGAUGUCCCGUUCGUGUCAGCCGAGUUGAUGCAGCUUCUCCUGCAGCCGAGGCUGGUCUGAAAAUUAACGACCGAAUUGCCAAAGUAAAUGGAAAGAAUGUAUCUCGAUCCAUAGCUGUUAGCGUUGCUAAAUUGGUCAAAAACAGUAAAUACAAAGUGUCGCUUGAUAUACAAAGACCGAUGUCUUAUGAGAAUUUGGAAAAAUCACCAUGGCGAUGGAAAGGUAAAACUGAUGAUGAUGAUGAUAGGGCAGAAGAUGAGGGCAACACCCAAAAUGGUUCCAGUGAACAGAAUGCUGCCAAAGAGAACGAAGUGUCUGUUGAUGAAGAUGUGAUGUUAGGAAAUGGCUAUAAAAUGGCGACAAGCACACCUUUCCCAGGGAAGUUGGAUCGUAAAAUAUUCCAUUUAUCAAAGCCAGAUACGUCAGAAAGUAGGGCAGCAGCAAUCCAACAACUGGUUGAUUUGGAACGAGAAUAUAUCGAUUUUAUGCAUGGAGGUAUCGAGCAAUACUCUCGUCCAUUACGGCAUUGUAUUCUUAGUCAAAAACAACACACAGAACUCUUCCAGAAUAUUGAAAAGUUGGUGACAUUGUCAGAAUAUCUUCUGAAACAGCUUCAAUACAACGCACCAUCUUGUAGUUCCACAGAAACAGACGAUACAUCAGAGACUGAUUCUAACAUCAUACACAAUAUUGGUCUCAUUUAUAAAUCUAAGCUUCAGAUGAUCUAUCAAGCAUACAAGGUUUAUGCACAGGGCCUCGGUCAAGCCAACACUGUCCUGAAAGACCUUCAGAAUAAUGCAAACUUCAAAAUGUUCCUCAAGGAGUGUGUCUCAGCUGUGAAGCAGACCAGUAUCAGUGCAUUUAUCACCCGUCCUUCUCAGCAUGUCAAAGAGAUGUACCAAACUCUUAGGGAGAUAUUUUGCAACACCCCACAAGAGGAUUCCGACUACUUGAACCUGAAACUAGUUGUCGAGGGUCUCCAACUCUGUGCGACUUACAUCACCAAUUACACCUGUAUCAGGGCUCAGAAGCUGGCAUCAUCAUCAUCAUCGUCAUCACAUUCAUCAUCAAUGUCUAACAGUUCCCUAAGUUCUUACACCAAUUCGAGUCACUCGGGAGUUUCCUCUGCAGUCUUCGAUGGCAAUCCUUCCGAGAGACUCAAAUCUUCAGUGUGUGCAGUGAGCGUUUCAAGAGACUUCCAUUACGAAGGGAAAUUGCAGGUUUCAAAUACCGUCUGUGUGAAGAAAGAGCAGGCAUCAAUAUCGUACAUACGGAAUCUCAAACCAUCCAAGUCAAAUCUUGGACAAACUUCGUCAAACUGUUCCGAAGAUUCUGGUCAUUCUGUAGAUUCGCAACUGUCAAGUAUUCAGAAAAAAUUGUAUUUCCCAAGCACUGUUCCAUAUUUCCAGUUGUGUCAGGAAGAAAGACAUCUCAUUUAUUCCGGUGAGAUUUUCAGGUGGGAUGGAGAUGUUUGGAACAAGUUACAGUUGAUGUUAUUUUCUGAUCUCCUCUUACAAACUGAGAAAUCUGCUGAUGGUAGACUGACAGUUGUGGAGAGUCCACUCAUGUUGUAUUCUUUGCAAGGAAUUGAAUCUCAGAGAAAGCAUGCUACAGACUUCCUUCUUCAUGUAAUGUGUUCUUCGGAUAAAUCUUUGGCUUCCUUAAAGAAAUUGAUGUUCCGAGCACCUAAUAUUGAACAGAAGUACACCUGGAAGACUUUGAUUGAACAACGCAUUCUCACUUACCGAAGUGGGAGUCUUGAAUCAUUCAUUACGUCAGAUAUUUCUGGCGCUUCUGGAGUGAUUGUAUGAAAAUAACCGUGGCAACUGAUAUUCGUCAUUGUCACUGUCAUCAUCGUCAUCAACAUCAUCGUCAUCAUUCUACAUCCAAUUUCCCAUGCUUGCACGAAGCAGACAGAACUUGUUGAUGCACAUUUUCUACAGCUGGAUGCUCUUCCUGUCAACAACUCACCUAUUUCCAACCAAAGUAAUAUUUUCCCUGGAGCAGACUUUUUUUUUUUUACAGAAGACUGGAUUUGAACAACCUCACUUGCAUGUUGAUGAUAAUGCUCCUUUACGACCAUCACAUGAAGUCAAGACAAAGGUACAUGCUCACACACAUAUAUACAUACAUACACAAUGGCUUCUUUCAGUUUCCUGUUUCUUUAUUGCCCACAAGGGGCUAAACAUAGAGGGGACAAACAAGGACAGAGGGAUUAAAUCGAUU
This 3109-nucleotide unclassified non-coding RNA is filed under the name Octopus sinensis (East Asian common octopus). RNAcentral describes it as "uncharacterized LOC115231791, transcript variant X1". The record is from RNAcentral. Lineage: Eukaryota; Metazoa; Mollusca; Cephalopoda; Octopoda; Octopodidae.